AUGGCGACACACGGCCCUCCCUGGGGCUCCCACUCACCUGGCGGCACGUGCAGGGAGGGCUGCGGGCAUACAGCCUACAGGCUCCUCGGGCCCCACGCCCGGCUCCAUGCUCCACUGCCGCCACCUCGAGGCCGCCAAGCGGCGCCCUCCCCCUGGCCCCCGGGCGCGGGCCUGAGUCGGUCUGCCAUCGGCCAGCGGGGCGCCAAGGGGAGCUCACCUGGCCUCGGGUUCCCUGCCCUAGAAGAGGAUCAUGAGGGCCCGAGUUGGGGACGGGCCCGGCCGGGCCCCCAGCUCUCCUGUGCUUCGCAGUGGCCCCCCCGGGAGCGGGGCACGGGCACCGAGGGCGGGGGGCGGCGGCCUGGGCCGUGGGGCUUGGAGGCCCUGGAGCUGUGGGUUGAGGCCGGGCGGCAGCCCCGCCGUCGGGUAAACACGCCUCCUGCGCUCGGGCCGGAAGGCCUCCCAGGGGCCUGGCCGUGGCCGGGCGUGAGGCUCUGCCGCCCCAACCAUAGUACGCAGCGUGGCCCACGGCCCAGAUGGCUGCUUUUUUGUUUUGUGUUUUUGGAGCUGAGUGUGGAACCGUUUCACCAUUUCAUGGUCAGGGUCCAGGAACCAGCCCGCAGCCCAGGGGCACCAGGUGCCAGGAGCCCCUCGGGGACCCACGGAGAUGCAGCUGGGGUCCCUGGCAACACUCCGGUGACAGACUCCUGGAGGGGGCAGGGGUGGCAAGCAGGGGCAGAGAGUUGGGUGACAGAACAGGCCACUCCUCUGCCUCAGCUCACAGAAACAGUGGGCGCUGCUGUCGGGGAAGAAAGGCUGUGGCUUCCUUGGAAAGCAGGGGCUGAGCCCCAAUUAGGGGACAGGACACUGGUAUCCAAGACCGACUCUGGCAGCCAGACACACUGGCUUCCUAGUUGUGUGACCCGAGGCCAGUUCCUUAAGCCGCGUGGACCUUGGUUUCCUUCUCUGUGGAAUGGGAGUAAGGGUAGCGCCCACCUCACAGAGCCGUUGGCAGACCUCAGGGAGCUGCGCCUGUGGAGCCCUUGGCACACCGUCCAGCGUGUAAUCAUGCCUACAAAUCCUGGGGGCAGGCCGAGAGCUGUAGAGCAACCAGCCCCAUAA
This 1119-nucleotide long non-coding RNA is filed under the name Vulpes vulpes (red fox). Its description in RNAcentral is "lncRNA (ENSVVUG00000002921.1)". The record is from RNAcentral. Lineage: Eukaryota; Metazoa; Chordata; Mammalia; Carnivora; Canidae.